UCCAGUCUUGCAAGGAUUUUUUUUAAGGAUCAUUGCUCUUGAUUUCUCAGAAAUUGGGUUAUGAAUUCAUCUACCUGUCCAAUUGCUUCAUAAAGGCACAGAGAAACCACUCAAGUUUUCUCCCAGAUGGAGUUUCUGGGGCAUAACCCAUCCAGUUGAAACUGUUCUCAAUUAGUUAAAAUGCACUCGAGGGGUGAGUCUCUGGGGAUGCUUUGGGCGUUCCCCGUGGUGGUAAAGCACCAUCAGUGUCUGGCUGUCAGCAGCCGGAGUAGCGUGCAGAGCCCAACUGCAGGUGUCAACAUAGUUAUAAGAUUUAGUCAAGUCCCAUUCAGCCCAGGAGGCAAGAGGCAAAGGCCUGGGGCAGGCCGGAGGCUGAGGCUCUCAAUGCCAGGGUUGAGAGUUAAGUCCCUGGCAGAAAGUUUUUCAAGUUUUUGAUUUUAUAGAAGAUCCAGGUUCUGCUCAGGUCCAGCUCAAACUUAACGUCAACUUGGUGACAACAGAGGAGGUGAUGAAUGAGACGGACAAAGAAGGGAAAGAGGGGCCGGCUCCAUGGCCAAGUGGGUAAGUUCAUGCGCUCCGCUGUGGCGGCCCAGUGUUCGGAUCCUGGGUGCAGACAUGGCACUGCUCGUUAGGACAUGUUGAGGUGGCGUCCCACGUCCCACAACUGGAAAGACCUGCAACUAAGAUAUACAACUACGUAUGGGGGGGUUGGAGAGAUAAAGCAGAAAAAAAAAAAAGAUUGGCAACAGUUGUUAGCUCAGGUGCCAAUCUGAAAAAAAAAAAAAAAAGAAGAAGGGAAAGAGGUGAUCAGGCCUCGCCCUCAUGGCCUCUUUCCAAGGGUUAUCAAGAUAAAGGUCACACAAACAACAGUUCCCGGCAGGACAGUUUGCAGAAUAAAUUACAGGUCUCCUGACCCCAGAACCGACUCAGUAGGCACCUAAAAUACUCACCGGGUUCUUGACAGGAGACAAAACAGAGUUCCGGAGAGCUCCCAGGGGUGGAACGCAGACUCAAUGAGACAGAAAAAUCAGAUUGUCAGGCUAAUGACUGACCCAGGGGCUCACGGUGCCCCUGAAACCAGAGGAGAGGAGAUCCUCCUAAAGAGGAUAAAAGAGGGAGAGGAAAGAGGGAGACUUUAAGAAGUUGGU
Molecule: long non-coding RNA, 1148 nt
Filed under: Equus caballus (horse)
Lineage: Eukaryota; Metazoa; Chordata; Mammalia; Perissodactyla; Equidae
Description: lncRNA (ENSECAG00000044656.1)
Source: RNAcentral